UAGGGAAUCUUCCNCAAUGGACGCAAGUCUGAUGGAGCAACGCCGCGUGAGUGAAGAAGGUUUUCGGACCGUAAAGCUCUGUUGUUGGUGAAGAAGGAUAGAGGUAGUAACUGGCCUUUAUUUGACGGUAAUCAACCAGAAAGUCACGGCUAACUACGUGCCAGCAGCCGCGGUAAAUACGUAGGUGGCAAGCGUUGUCCGGAUUUAUUGGGCGUAAAGCGAGCGCAGGCGGAAGAAUAAGUCUGAUGUGAAAGCCCUCGGCUUAACCGAGGAAUUGCAUCGGAAACUG
This 289-nucleotide ribosomal RNA is filed under the name uncultured bacterium. Its description in RNAcentral is "partial 16S ribosomal RNA". It matches the Rfam family "Bacterial small subunit ribosomal RNA", at positions 355 to 635 of the family's 1533-position model. The record is from RNAcentral.